CCCCUUCCCGGCACCCCCCCCAGCAUCUGGCAGCACGGCACCAGCCUCAUGAACUACCUGCGCAUGGUAGAGUAUGAUGGACUGACAGGGCGUGUGGAGUUCAACAGCAAGGGCCAGCGCACGAACUACACCCUGCACGUGCUGGAGAAGGGGCGCCAUGGGCACCGCGAGGCGGGCGUGUGG
This is a non-coding RNA of Struthio camelus australis, 183 nucleotides long. NCBI's taxonomy places the organism in Eukaryota, Metazoa, Chordata, Aves, Struthioniformes, Struthionidae. The record is from RefSeq and is a predicted model, not a curated record.